RNAcentral lists this long non-coding RNA (1427 nucleotides) under Monodelphis domestica (gray short-tailed opossum). RNAcentral describes it as "lncRNA (ENSMODG00000039855.1)". Lineage: Eukaryota; Metazoa; Chordata; Mammalia; Didelphimorphia; Didelphidae. The record is from RNAcentral.
GUCUGUAUGUGUGUGGGUGUAUUUGGGAGACACACAUACAUAGAAUUGAUUUCACCCUCCAAAGUCCUUGAAAUGAGAUUGGCUGACAGCUCAGGUCCACAGAACAGGAGAAGGCCAUACUGUUAAUAGUCUGUCAUCCUUUACUUACCUACAAAUGCCAUGACUCUUCAAGGUAGUUGUAGAACCAACUGGCUAUAUUGACCAACCAGCUAAAAAUAACUGGCUAUAAUGACCAGUUAAUAAGACUUAGAAAUUAAGCAGCCAACAAUGUGCCAGGCAACAGACUAAGCAUUGGGGGUUCAAAGAAAGCAAAAAAAAAAGAGUCCCUGCCCUCAAGGGGCUCAUAUUCAAACGGGGGAGACAAAAGCCCAAGAUCCUGAAUGUAAUCAUGAAUCUAGUUGGUGUCUCCUAGAAGGAACUUUGAGGUGUCUCUGCUCAUACCCCAAAUUCUAAGCCUCAAUCAAAAUUCUCUGAGGCCCCAAGACCAGUGACGAGAUGGUCUGCUGUCAUCCUAGGCUAGCUUCCCCCCAAUUUUGGAAAGUGCCUAGGAGAGGAAUUGUUUCUAAGUUCCACCAGUAAAGUUAAUGGACUCAAGGAGGCAGGGCCAACCCUGAAUGGAGUGGAAAGGGCAGUCAUCCACAGGAGUGAUUUGAAGGAUUCCACAGCUGCUUGCCAUCUGAUUGUUAUUACCACUGCCUCUCCCCUGCAUUAAUCAGACUUGAACUUUUCACCAUUAGAGUCCCUAAUGUGGUAAACAGCUAGAGGGGAAGGGGCAGCUAAGUGGUUUAGUGGAUAAAGAGGUAGACUUAGAGAUGGGAGGUCCUGGGUUCAAAUCAUAUACUGCCUAGCUGGUUGAUUCUAGCUCAUUUGACAGAAGAAACCGAGACAGAGUGAAGUGACUUGCCCACAGUCACACAGCCAUUUUACAGAUGAAGAAGCCUGAGGUUCAGAGUGAUGAAGGACAAGACCUGAAAGCCUGGUCUUCUAUGGAGAACUCAAGAUGGCCCUGGGGGAGGAAGAAGAAAUGUCUCCUUGGAAGCUGCCUUUGGCAAAAAAAUAAAAAAAUAAAAAUAUGGGAGCCUGGAGAUGGAAGAAGGAGACGUGCCUUUCAUCCUGGCUUCUUUACUUUCUGUCUUCAAAUGAGAAAAAGAGGAGUCUAUGGGAAAAGUCCCCAAAGGGUGAUGCUGGGGAGGUCAUUGGUGGCUUGACUAUGACUCCUCUUCCUGACUAUUCGGUUUCUGUCUGUGAUUUUCCAGGCUAAAUACCCUGGAGUCCUUUUCUCUCUAGAGCUCCUGCCUUUUCUCCCAAAUGGCUUUGUAUUUAAUUACUUUACAUUGAUCUGUAUUUAUUUUCUUCAUAUUAUGCAUAUACAAAUAUACAUAUACACACACUUGUUCACUGAUAAAAAUACAAGCUCCUUGAGGGUA